Molecule: ribosomal RNA, 498 nt
Filed under: uncultured bacterium
Lineage: Bacteria
Description: partial 16S ribosomal RNA
Rfam family: Bacterial small subunit ribosomal RNA
Source: RNAcentral
AUUGAACGCUGGCGGCAUGCCUUACACAUGCAAGUCGAACGGUAACAGGUCUUCGGAUGCUGACGAGUGGCGAACGGGUGAGUAAUACAUCGGAACGUGCCCGAGAGUGGGGGAUAACGAAGCGAAAGCUUUGCUAAUACCGCAUACGAUCUCAGGAUGAAAGCAGGGGACCGCAAGGCCUUGCGCUCACGGAGCGGCCGAUGGCAGAUUAGGUAGUUGGUGGGAUAAAAGCUUACCAAGCCGACGAUCUGUAGCUGGUCUGAGAGGACGACCAGCCACACUGGGACUGAGACACGGCCCAGACUCGUACGGGAGGCAGCAGUGGGGAAUUUUGGGCAAUGGGCGCAAGCCUGACCCAGCCAUGCCGCGUGCAGGAUGAAGGCCUUCGGGUUGUAAACUGCUUUUGUACGGAACGAAAAGACUCUGGUUAAUACCUGGGGUUCAUUACGGCACCGUAAGAAUAAGCACCGGCUAACUACGUGCCAGCAGCCGCCGUAA